This is a long non-coding RNA of Chelonia mydas (Green sea turtle), 1762 nucleotides long. RefSeq lists it as uncharacterized. Lineage: Eukaryota; Metazoa; Chordata; Testudines; Cheloniidae. The transcript has 3 exons. The record is from RefSeq and is a predicted model, not a curated record.
CACUUAGAGGAGAGGAAAGUGAUCAGGAACAGUCAGCAUGGAUUCACCAAGGGGUGGCCAGAUGCCUGGUUUUCGACUGGAAAGUCUGGCCCAAAAGGCGACGUGACGGUGUCUGGUCAGAUCAACUGACCGGACGUCCAAAGUUCAGUUACUAGAGGCGAGGAGGCGCCAGGUCAUCACCCACUCCAGCCCCUACUCAGCCGGGGCCAUCUCCUACCUUCGUCGGGCGGCUGCAGCUCCAAGCCCCGGCUCUGCAGAUCUAAUUGUGUGAUUAUUGCCACCAACAAAGGAUUGUGGCAGCGUGAAAAGAAUGAAGCAAGAGGGGGAGAGAAAGAAGAGGAGGUGGCUGAUUAUCAGUGUGAAUACACACAUACAUCAGCAGUCAGCAGCUAUGAGAAAAGAAAAAUAGAAAGAGCACACGGCUAUGUUUUUAACAUUUCCUUAUGCAUAAUGAAGCUCUUAAAGAAUUAACCUAUUUGGCAAUUUUGGGCCACAAAAAUCUUUGUUACACUUGUAGAAAAUUUGUAUUUUGAAUGGAGUAAACUUUUAUGCAUAGUGCUGAUAUUAAUAGGUAGAUUAGAUAAGGAUGGUUUUUAAUGUACAUUUGUACAACACUCAGCAUGAUGGGAUGCCAUAGGGCAUGCCUAACCUACCCUGUAUUACCCCUUGCUGAGUUAGUGGAGUGUUGUACAAGCUCCCUGCCCAGGAAGCCAAAAAUUUCACUUCAGGCAAUCUUGACAAUACCCUCCUUUGGGUAUGUUUGUUACAAACCCACAUACAAAAGGGGCCAUAACAAAGAAUUCCCAAAUAAGCAAAAGGUGCUUCUAGCUUUCAGGGUUCCUCUGAAGCCUGCCCUCUAAGCCGUUCCCAGCCCCUCAGGGUUCUCGCUCAGUCUUUGUGUCUCUCCUUAUGGCAGAGUCCCAGCUCUCCUCCUGGAGCUUGGAGAGUUCAAACAAUUAUUAUCCCUUUCCUUACCAGGAGUCCUCAGCUCUCUUCCUGGACCUGGGUUGUGAUUUAUCUCCUUCAGCUGGUCCCAUUUAGUCCUCAGAUUCAGAGGGGUUGGCAGCCCUCUUCUGAGGGUGCCUGUUAACUCAGAGCCCUGGAAGAGUCUUCUUAUUCCCUUUAGUAUCUGCAGAUAGCUGUUCUACUGUGAACACGGAGGCCAUCAUUUAUGGUGGCCCCUUCUCCCAUCUCAUUCCUCAUUGGCUGGUUGAGACAGGAGCCCUGCCUCACCCUGUCUGCAAGGCUCCAUGUUGCAGAUCCUUAAAGAUACCAAUACCGGGAUUCCUUCUAAAUGCUACUUCCUUCUAAAUGCUACUUCUUCUUGGGACUUUUUUCCUCUCUCCACAUAUCUUCUCAGGCUUUGUGUAUCAGAGCACCCCAAACUCUUAAAGGGCCAUGCCGUGUGAUGGGGAGGACUGACCAGUAGGUUGUAUUGCCCUUAAGGGGAAGAGUACCCCAUCACAGGGGGGUUGGUCCUGAUUGGGUUCAGGGGGCACUACUCUAAUGCAAAUAAUAAACAGACUAACUUUAUAUUGAAAUGGAUUAGACUUGUCACUUUUCUUCUGGAUUGUCUCCAUCAUAUAACAAGGAAUUCUAGAGGGUUAUUGUCUUUCUAUAUCCUACUGUACUGGUGCUGUAUUUUCUUACAACACGAUCUCUGAUUCUUCAGCUUACUCUCAUACACUAGCAUAUGCAAAGACCUGGUACAAAAUAGCAGGUGAUAAGGAAGAUGCAGGCUAUGGCUAUGCUAGACUUCUCC